UACAAUGUAGCUCAGUUGGUUAGAGCAAUGGAAUGUUAAUCCAUAGCGCAUCGGUUCAAUUCCGAUCGUUGUAA
Molecule: transfer RNA, 74 nt
Filed under: Candidatus Scalindua sp.
Lineage: Bacteria; Pseudomonadati; Planctomycetota; Candidatus Brocadiia; Candidatus Brocadiales; Candidatus Scalinduaceae
Description: tRNA-Asn
Rfam family: tRNA
About the family: Transfer RNA (tRNA) molecules are approximately 80 nucleotides in length. Their secondary structure includes four short double-helical elements and three loops (D, anti-codon, and T loops).
Source: RNAcentral